This is a small nuclear RNA of Ictidomys tridecemlineatus (thirteen-lined ground squirrel), 120 nucleotides long. Its record names the gene U4. It matches the Rfam family "U4 spliceosomal RNA". Rfam says of the family: U4 small nuclear RNA (U4 snRNA) is a component of the major U2-dependent spliceosome. The structure of U4 snRNA from yeast and human has been reported. Lineage: Eukaryota; Metazoa; Chordata; Mammalia; Rodentia; Sciuridae. The record is from Ensembl.
AGCUUUGCGCAGUGGCAGUAUCGUAGCCAAUGAGGUUUAUCCGAGGUGCGAUUAUUGCUAAUUGAAAUCAUGUGUGAAUGUUUUUGUGGCUAUGGGCAAUUUAUAACUUAAUUGAGAUUA